This 5416-nucleotide unclassified non-coding RNA is filed under the name Portunus trituberculatus (swimming crab). RNAcentral describes it as "insulin-like growth factor 1 receptor, transcript variant X4". The record is from RNAcentral. Lineage: Eukaryota; Metazoa; Arthropoda; Malacostraca; Decapoda; Portunidae.
AGUUUCUUUCUUGGCCUUGAUGCUGCAAGACAUGCAAGCAUAACAUGUUCCAGAGCGACAGGAGAAAGCAUUCCAUAGUGACAACUCGAUGAAAACUUUACGCAUUGUCAUGCAAACAUUUUUACUGUGGUGCUAACUCAUGGUACUGCUGGUGACUAUGUUCUCCAUGUGCCUGCGUGCUUGCCUGCUUGCCUGGGACACGAGGUAUCGUAUUUGAGGAGCCGCGGUUCAGUGUGCGUCUGGCUGCGGCGGAGCGAGGUGUGAAACUGAAAAUUUCUCUCUGAAGUUUAAGUUCAUGUAGUGAAACAAUGAACACUGAAAUAACCUGAGGUGCGCCAACCUUCGUGUGUGCCUCACUCUGCUUCUAAAUACUUAAUCAUAGAUGACUGAGGACAAAGCUGUGUGGUGAGGCGAGACCUUCCCCUCUACAGCACACAAUGAACCCAGCAACUGCAGCCGACGAUGAGCGUCUCCGCAGUGACUCAAGUGAGGAACGACGCGAUGGAAGAGCAAGAAGGUUCGCCCAGCUGGUGCCAGGGAAGCGACCGCCAGUGAUGGUAAUAGUGUUGGUGUUGAUGCUGGUCAUGAUGGUGGUGGUGGUGACAGUGUUGGUAACAGGCAGAAACAAAUUCGAUCAUCCGUUAGCCACUACAAAUCAGCAUGGUGCUGCUUUCGGCAAGACUUGUGGGAGUGUGGAGGUGACGGGAGACCAAACAUUCUUGGAGGACUACGUUUCUUGCGUCACCAUCGAGGGAAACCUGCGCAUCCAGCUCAUUGAAUACAACGAAACCCAGUCACUCGUUGGUCUUCCUAAUCUCAUUCAGGUGACUGGCUACGUGAUCAUCUACCAGCUCUCGUACUUAAAAACUCUGCGCCACCUGCUCCCGCUCUUAGCUGUCAUCAGGGGACGGGAACUCUUCCAUGGCUAUUCCCUUGUAAUAUAUGGGAACAUCUUCUUGCAAGAACCAAACCUUUGGAACUUGACCCACGUGCUGAGGGGUGCGGUGCGGGUAGAGAAAAAUCUUUGCAGUGGACCUCCCAACCGCUGGGAUCUGCUCUCCCCUUCUCCGGCCCUCAACGUGGUGCAGGAUUAUGGAUUGUGUGUCUACCCGAUGUGUGAAGAACAGAGGGAUUGUACCAAUGUCACCACCGCCAUCCACACCUACUGCACUACGCAUGGCGGAUGCUACCAAGAUUCCCAGUGCCACGAAGAAUGUGUGGGGGGAUGCUACGCCCUCUAUGACCCUAACGCAUGUGUAGCAUGCAGGAAUUACCAAGACGGUCAUACUUGCGUCCCUGAGUGUUCUUCGUCUGUCAAUAACAAAGUCCACCACUUAGGUUACCGAUGCAUUCGCGAGGACGAGUGUGCCAAGGAGCCGUGGAAGAUGGAGAGAGAGAUGGGGCCGCACGGUACUGAGCGGCUGGUCUGUGUUCCAUGCAAUGACAAUUGCUAUGGGACGUGCCGCGGGACGAAGGUCACCACUGCAAACAUGGGACGCCAACUCCGAAAGUGCCAGCAUUUGAAAGGAAACCUGGAAAUCAUGGUGUCAGGUGGCGCUAACUUGAUGCAGCAACUGGAGGAGAACCUGGGCCAGGUGAAGGUGGUGACGGGCUACUUGAAGGUGUACGGCUGUGACACACUCUUCUCCCUGAACUUUCUGAGCACCCUUGAGAAAAUCGGAGGCGAGGAUUUGGCGCACGGCAGGUACGCCCUUUACGUGCUGGACAAUGAGAAGCUACGGGAAUUAUGGGACUGGGAGCACCGCAACCACAGUCUUGAGAUCAUCCAGGGAAUGCUGUUCUUCCAACACAAUCCAAGCCUGUGUCGCGAGCUGAUAAGAAAGCUGGCCACCCAGGCACAGGUACAAGCAGACCGCGUUCAUGUAUCCCAUGCAGAGGACACGGCGCCUUGUUACACAUCGGACCUGGAGGUGCGCUGCGUCCCUUUGAAGAAUGGAAGACUUGAAGUACUCUGGAAGUACCACUAUCACGGCCGCGACCAUCGGUUCGUUAUCGGCUAUUAUUUGUAUUACCGGGAGGCGCCUGAGAAGAUCACACUCUACCAAGGCCGCGACGCCUGCAACGACAACAUCGUGUGGAAGAGGAUUUUUCGAGAGUACGAGCAUGACGAGGAGUGUGUGGUGGGCGUAGACAACCUUAAGCCCUACACUCAGUACGCCGUGUAUGUUGACGUCUACUACAUCGACGCUGUGAAGAACGCCAGCCGCUCCAGCAUCCAGUACGUCACAACCCAAGUCGGUGAGCCGUCUCCAGUGCGUGAGUUGAAGGCUACGUCUCAGAAAGGCACCUCGGCUCAGUUCUUAUCCUGGCGUGAACCUGCCGUUCGCAAUGGACCCCUGAAGGUGUACGAGGUGAAGCACGGGAGGUUGAAGCUUCCCCGUCCACGCCCAACACCCGAGGAUCGUGACGUGUGUGUGGACAGCAGAGAUGAGCCACAGAACAAGACGCGGCUCAGCUUGCAUGGUGGGGAAGACGACAACAAGGCGACCCGCUGUUGUGCGUGUCCAGACUCCGCCGCCAACCUCUCAAAGGAGGAUCGACGUUAUGACCACGAGUUUGACAUCCACUUUCAAACCUUCAUGUGGCAAAGCCUGUUCUGCAAAAGGGAUAGUGACGACAAUGAAAAUAAAUCAAUGCCCGCCUCCGUCAGCCAAAGCAAGCCUCCUGCCCAGCGCCGCAACUACACAGCAGACGAAGUCACGAGGAAUGUGAGCGACAUCACCAGCACGCCCGUCAUCCCAGGGACAGCUUCCAUAGUCGCCGAGGAGCAGAACCGAUCCAGGCAGCGGAAACGUAGAAGUAUAGUACAUUUGUCAGCAAGAAUACAAGACAGGACAGACACGGAAACGAGCGACCAAAAACGAGAGGAGAAAAAUAAUAAAUACAAGGAGAUGGAGCACGAUGAGUGUGAAAUAAGCACUGACACAAACAGCGACACAGCCGAGGUGUGUGACGUGAGGACGAUGACGACCAACAAUACCCGCGUCACUCUGAUGCGUUUGUCGUAUUUCACACAAUACAGGGUGUGGGUAAGAGCAUGCCACACCGAGGGCAGUAUCUGCAGCGACUGGUCUGUUCUGGAUGUGACAACUCCAGUGGACAUAUCCAUAUACAAGAUAAAAAACUUCAAGGUGAAACAAAUGAAAACAAACGAGACUAAAUGGCCAGACACAAAAUCACAGGCCAAUUCCAGUAACAAAACACCCGCUUCACCACCCGGAGCAGCAGCACAAAUAGGCACCACGCUUCUCCUUAGUUGGGACCCACCAAUGGUUCCGAUGGAACUCAUCCUGGCCUAUAUCAUCGAAUACCAGCUGGAACAAACACCUAAGAAAAAAAUAUGCGUCCCGCAGCAAAAGAUGCGUCACGCCGAGUAUAGAUUUCCACUGCAGAAGUAUGGAAGCUACACUUUCCACAUUAGACUUCGUUCUCCCAGCGGCGAUGGACCACCUACCAGCCUCACCAUUGGGAUCAAGAGACCCGACGUUUAUUGGGCUGUCCCUGUUGCCUUCCUGUGUGGGGGUUUGUUAGGUAUCUGCAUUAUGGAGGUGGUCUUAUGGGUGAGGUGGCGGAAAAGAAGCGAAGCUCCAGAGUCACAGACUUUCGAAGAGCUCUUACUGGAGGCAGGACUAAAGCAUUUAGAGAAGGAUUUCAUCAUUGAUAGCAACGUCCUGCAAGUAAAGUUGGACAAGAAAAUUGGUCAGGGGGUCUUCGGGAUAGUUUACCUCGGAAUGCUGAAGCUUCCUGCUGGGGAAGAACGACAGGUGGCGGUGAAGACCGUCAACGAGGAGGCCACGUACCAGGACAUGAAGCACUUCUUGGACGAGGCCACCGUCAUGCAGAAAAUGAAAUCAAACUUUGUGGUAAGUCUGAUUGGCGUGAACAGUUGUCCGCCAAUAUAUGUUGUCAUGGAGUUCAUGGAAUAUGGUGACCUCAAGUCCUUCCUCUUAAGAGAGGAAGGGGCCACGAUUACGAAUGAGAAAAUGGUGGAAAUGGCGGUGGAGGCAGCAGACGGGAUGGCUUACCUGAAGGCCAAUAAUUGGGUGCACCGAGACCUGGCGGCGCGCAAUUGUAUGCUGGGUAUGGUGGAAGACCGACUCAUACUCAAGAUUGGGGAUUUCGGCCUUACCAGACACGUCACAACUGACUACUACAAGAUAAAGACAUGUGGAUUAUUGCCAGUGCGCUGGAUGGCCCCCGAGUCACUGGAAUACUACCGUUAUACUACCAGGUCCGAUGUGUGGAGUUAUGGUGUGUUGCUUUGGGAACUUGCCAGCGGGGGACGUCAGCCUUAUGAGGAUAAACUAGAUAAAGAGGUGGAGGACUUCAUUCUCUGUGGUAAGAGGCUGGGACCUCCCGACAGAGGUCCAGAUUUUUUCUACCCGCUCAUGCUGAAGUGCUGGAACGCAGUACCCGAGCAGCGACCAAGCUUCAAGAGAAUAGUGCAACGUCUUCUUCCAAUGACCUCCAAAAAGUAUUUGGAGUACUUCCAGAGGGUGUCCUUCUUCCAUAACCCUGGUUCCUCUGAGCACGAGGGCCCGGAUGACAUUGACGAAGGGUUCAAUGCCAGCAGUUCAAGUCAAGAGGAGGCCGAAGCUGGGUACUCGGGCUCCUACUCGUCUUCCUUGCCUCCCUUCCACCACCUUGACCAAGACAGCCAAGUUGAAAAUGACCAAUUUGAGAAUGAGAGCAGCGAAGACGACACAGCAGUAGAGGACGAUCUGGUCUGCAUGACGCCUGAGGAGCCAUACGAAAGGCAGUGUUCCGGCCCGCUGCCGUGCAUCACCAGCCAUGUGGGGCGACUUCCACCAAGCAGUGAUGCUCCACACAAAAAGCUUCUCUUCCGCACGUCUUGUUUCGCCGAAACAUAGCCUCCUCCUUUACAGCCUCUUGAAGGCGGCCUGCACUCUUCACACCUCUACAGGUCGCAGCAUGCCUUGGGUGGAACUGGCAACAUUGUUGACCCGUCAAAAAUGUUUCCUUGACAAACAUCAAGUAGUACAUUAGUCGCUGGUGUGAAUCAUGUGUUGUUAUUAACAUAUAAGUACCUGGACCGAAAGACCAGUGUGACUUCAAACAUGAUCGUCAAUAUGUCUUCUUUAGUACUACGCAUGAAGUUACGUCUUUUUAUCAUUUAUGUUCUUAAAACAGAAGGAACGAUUUGCAUUUCUAUUUUAAAUAUGGAAUAUAUUAUCUAAUAUGACAAAUAACGACAUGUACAUUAUGCAAUAUUUCAGUGUCGAUGCAAAAUGACAAGGCAUUUCCCGAUGAACUUUAGAAAAGUGUGUGUGUGUGUGUGUGUGUGUGUGUGUGUGUGUGUGUGUGUGUGUGUGUGUGUGUGUGUGUGUGUGUGUGUGUGUGUGUGUGUGUGUGUGUGUGUGUGUGUGUGUGUGUG